AGAGUUUGAUCCUGGCUCAGGAUGAAACGCUGGCGGCGUGCUUAACACAUGCAAGUCGAACGGACCCAUAUUGAAACCUAGUGAUAUAUGGGUUAGUGGCGGACGGGUGAGUAACGCGUGGGUAACCUGCCUUACACAGGGGGAUAACACUUAGAAAUAGGUGCUAAAACCGCAUAAGCGCACAGCUUCGCAUGAAGCGGUGUGAAAAACUCCGGUGGUGUAAGAUGGACCCGCGUCUGAUUAGCUUGUUGGCGGGGUAACGGCCCACCAAGGCGACGAUCAGUAGCCGGCCUGAGAGGGCGGACGGCCACAUUGGGACUGAGACACGGCCCAGACUCCUACGGGAGGCAGCAGUGGGGAAUAUUGCACAAUGGGGGAAACCCUGAUGCAGCGACGCCGCGUGAGUGAAGAAGUAAUUCGUUACGUAAAGCUCUAUCAGCAGGGAAGAAAAUGACGGUACCUGAGUAAGAAGCCCCGGCUAACUACGCG
This 489-nucleotide ribosomal RNA is filed under the name uncultured Eubacteriales bacterium. RNAcentral describes it as "bacterial SSU rRNA". It matches the Rfam family "Bacterial small subunit ribosomal RNA", at positions 8 to 507 of the family's 1533-position model. The record is from RNAcentral. Lineage: Bacteria; Bacillati; Bacillota; Clostridia; Eubacteriales.